UACGUAGGGUGCGAGCGUUAAUCGGAAUUACUGGGCGUAAAGCGUGCGCAGGCGGUUUUGUAAGUCAGAUGUGAAAUCCCCGGGCUUAACCUGGGAACUGCGUUUGAAACUACGUGGCUCGAGUGUGGCAGAGGAAGGUGGAAUUCCACGUGUAGCGGUGAAAUGCGUAGAGAUGUGGAGGAACACCGAUGGCGAAGGCAGCCUUCUGGGCCAACACUGACGCUCAUGCACGAAAGCGUGGGGAGCAAACAGG
RNAcentral lists this ribosomal RNA (253 nucleotides) under uncultured bacterium. RNAcentral describes it as "partial 16S ribosomal RNA". It matches the Rfam family "Bacterial small subunit ribosomal RNA", at positions 524 to 776 of the family's 1533-position model. The record is from RNAcentral.